This 493-nucleotide ribosomal RNA is filed under the name uncultured soil bacterium. RNAcentral describes it as "bacterial SSU rRNA". It matches the Rfam family "Bacterial small subunit ribosomal RNA", at positions 26 to 518 of the family's 1533-position model. The record is from RNAcentral.
AGGACGAACGCUGGCGGCGUGCUUAACACAUGCAAGUGGAGCGACGAACCGGGGCUUGCCCCGGGGCAGAGCCGCGAACGGGUGAGUAACACGUGGGUUACCUGCCCCAAUGACCGGGACAACCCGAGGAAACUCGGGCUAAUACCGGAUGUGGUCUUCGGACGAAAGGAAGCUUCGGCCUCCGCAUUGGGAUGGGCCCGCGGCGCAUUAGCUUGUUGGUGGGGUAACGGCCUACCAAGGCGACGAUGCGUAGCUGGUCUGAGAGGACGAUCAGCCACACUGGGACUGAGACACGGCCCAGACUCCUACGGGAGGCAGCAGUGGGGAAUCUUGCGCAAUGCGCGAAAGCGUGACGCAGCAACGCCGCGGUGGGGGAAGAAGGCCGUUCGGUUGUAAACCUCUUUCGAGUUGGGACGAGGCCGCGCCGUUAAUAGCGGUGGCGGUUGACGGUACCUUCGAGAAGACGCCCGACUAACUACGUGCCAGCAGCCGC